Molecule: long non-coding RNA, 6626 nt
Filed under: Pelobates cultripes (western spadefoot toad)
Lineage: Eukaryota; Metazoa; Chordata; Amphibia; Anura; Pelobatidae
Source: RNAcentral
CAGGAGAGCAGGAUGUACAUUAGGCAAUGUGAGCUCAUCAUUUCCUCUUUCAGAAAGCGACAACAAGCAGAAGUAAAUAUAUAGCAAACAAUAAAACUAAUAAUAACUCCAAGUUCCCAUGUGCGAAGGAGCAAACUUCCAAAGAAUUCUAUACGAACAACGAAAAAGAGUUCAGGGUUGAGACAAAUCCGAAGGAUAAAAUCUCCAAUAGUUUCACGUGAACUGCCAAUUAUCUUCAGAGACGAAUCAUACUGAAAAGAGAAUGUGUGACAGGUUUAGACAUAGUCACGAACAUGUAACUCCAAUUAACGUACUACCUAACAUCCCAUUGGAGAAUAUAGUAACUAUAAUCUGAUUACUGAGUAAUAGUAAUGAGAACUCUAAUGAGGAUUUCAUAUUAAUGGAAGUAUGAACAUAUCAUAUAAGCACCAACGUGAGAGGCAAACCUACCGUAGCCCCUGAUAUCUGCAAAGCAAACGAAUAGAAAGGGUGGGCAGCGAAGCGGGGGGGUGGGGGAGGGAAAUACUCGCCUCCUGUCAUUAUUAAAAUUAAGAUUAUUAGUACACUAAAGCUAGCAUAAUCUUAAAUUUUACCACAUGACAGGAAGCUUCGUAUUUUGCAUUUUUAACGCUGAGAAAAGAGUAUAGAACUAAAUAAGAGUCCUACUGUGUGCCGAGAGACAAGGUAUUCAGCGUUGUGGGGAGGUCUUCCCCGUUGAGCACCCACGUAUACACCAUCUAACGGGAAAUUAUACAAGACCAAGUCUGACCGUUUGUCAGCAGGAUGUUUAGUCCCGUAGAGUGAAAGGGGAACGACCUCCACAACUCAUAAGGUGGAGAGGUAUGACAUUGGGUAGUUGGUAUCCUAGAGGAUCCUAGUCCCUUGGGCGUCCUCAGGUAGUGAUAUGGGCUGCAGUUCUGUCUCCAUCCUCACAUAAAGGAUCAAGAUGCACGACCGAACCAGACAAGCUGGGAAUGUCCAGAUGUAGGGGUAGGGGCGUCACAUCCCUGGGUUCCCAGAUUCCCAAGAGGUCCCUGGCAGCCUGCAAUCGUCCACUGACCUGCCAAGAAACCCCCAAAGCGGGUCGAGGUCCCCCAGGUAGCCGACCCUCCCGGAUAGAAGAUGUGAGUACCUUAUGGCUCCGUGAGGAAUUGUCGGUCAUGAAUAUAGCAGUUGAAGAUCCUCGCCUGCUCGAGAAUUUCUGUAGACCUUGUAAGCAUGAGAAGCAUAAGUCCUUCGGAAGGGACCGGUCGGACGGAGUGCGAUCACCAUCGUGCCUCGACUUAUACUGUGACGAGUAGUAAUAUCCAAAUCAGUCAGCCCCUAUGAGAUGUGUCUCCCCCGGGAGACGGGUUGAUCUUCUGUGAAGAAGACGGGGAUCGAAGGAGUCUACAUGUUGUCUGAGAAACGUGAGUUGGUCCAUCCCAAUGGAUGUGAAACCUGACAGCCUAAUCUGUGGUUACCUGCAGUAGGGUGCAGCUGAUCUAGUACUUCUUUAUCAAUCCAUGUAUUGUGAAGUAUAGGACCAAGAAGUCUAGGUAUACAACAUACAGGGUCGCGGUGGUGCCGUGGAGAGUCGUGCGAAUAUUCCCAAGUUGUGGAAUAGUCUACAAAUCCUCUGAGCGAAUAGUCUUCUACAAGUCUGGAGGUUCCAGCCGGUUCUCGGAUGAACGUGGGUGUUGAUGAGUUUUCAGUUCCCAGGAGUGAUCUGAAUGUGGUUCUCCCGUGAGAGAGUGUCUCGUCUUCCCCACCUGUAUUCAUUACUUCUUUUGGUAGUUUAUCAGGGCCCACCAGGCUCUGAGCUACUGGAUCGGGAAGGAGAGGAUGUCCCCUGAAAACUGGGUAACGUAGUCGAGCGGGAAGGAAGAAGACCAUCCUGACGUGUCUUUAGGUCCUAAACGCAAGUCAGUUGACUACGUGAAAGUGGUCUUCCCCAGGAUUGAGUGCCUUUCACCUAGAUGUGGUGAAAUCCCCUGUGGAUGUAGUAGGAGGUAUAUUGAUGGUAUCUGUGCAUACUGUAUUCUCUGUCCGCUUAUCUGGAGCACCAUUGGUUGACUCUCAUUCUAUAUGGGCAAUAGAGCUGGCAGUAGCGGAUCUUGGGUCAGAUGUCCCGAAGUGGUUGACGACCGGCUCUGUUGCCAACCGGUUCCAAAGAAUCCAUUGUAAAGGUAAUCGCAUAACACAUCCCUCCGAGGGGUUUGGGCCCUUAUGAAAGCUGUGGGACCCAUGCAUGUCUAAUAAGUUCCCUUCGGAACUUUGUGCCUUGUGCCUGGGGUUCCGACUAUCUUGGCGCCCAGUACCGCCAACCAUCUGUCAGUGCGGAGGAGUGCUACUAUGGGCAUCCUAUGGGAGAGGCCAACACUGGGGUUUCCUGCGAGGAGCAGAAACUGUUUUUUGAGUCCGUAUAUCCAAGUUGUAUGCCCGUUCCCGGCCGAUGUUUUGCAUUGUCCAGCAUCGCCCAUGGUAAGGUUGUGAAUCCUGAAAGACCUCCUCCGUUGGUCACUAUAGUCAUCUGAGCCAUUCUGACCGGCAUGGAAGGGCAUGGGUUUGUCCGACUGUCAGCGGAUAUGGACAUUCUAAGCAAGAGGCUGCAAAGCCACGAGUGCAUAAAGUUGUCAAGUAGGUUUAUCGUAGUAAGGGAUACCCCUGUGUAAGGCACAAACCAGUAUUCAGACACAGGAUGCAGGGCAAACAGAUCAGUCUACUAUGACAGUAAGCAGUUUUCACGGAAACCCUUGCGGGUCUUAUUCUGAAUCGUGGCCAAAUAAAACAGACUGGGGCUCACCCAGUACAUAGAGGUUGCCAUAGCAUUGCCUCCGCUCAGCAGCACCGUGCAGUGCACGUAUGUUGGGGACUCACCCCAGGUGCACAGGGUAUGAACCCUUAAGUGCUGGCCAUCGCCCUGAUAGAGAGUGUCAGUCAAGUAGGCGGCUCGGAACUCCUGUUCAGCGGUUGUAACUGCAUGCCUCUGUUUGGCAUUUUAGUGCAGUGCACACCUAGCCGGGCCCGUUCAUAGGGCGUGGGCCUUUAACUGCAGGCCGCAGAAUAGGUACAGGGCAUAAACCCAUACCGUAUUAUGAUUCAUUAUCAAUGGAGGUAUUCCUUCAGCUGUAGGUAGAGGCUGUUGCCAUAAGACUUCCUUCGGUCGGGUAGUGUGACUCGCCUAUCAUAGGGGUCUCACCCUGAGAGCACCGGGUCCGAAGUUCGGGUUUUCAAUCCUCGAUCUCGCUGUUGAGAGGGGUAGGAGUAGAAGCAGCAGUGCUGUAGGGGGCUCACCCCAGUUGCACAGGGUAUGAACCCAUCAGUGCUGGCCAUCAGCCUGAUAGAGUGUGUCCUACAGCUCUUCCAAUAAUUAAUGCACCACCAUGGGGGAUAUUCUGUGCUGAAGCUUGCAACUCUGUCCCCCUUUUAGCCGAAUAGAUUGGCUUAUACCUAGUCAGAGAUCACCUCAGGUGUGCGGGGUAUGUACCCAUCAAGCAUGGGUCGUGGCCAAAUAAAACUGACUGGAUGAGAGCACAAUCCGUUUCAUUGUGUGCAAUGCACCAUGCAGACCCCAGCAGGGUGUAGUAGUGUGCAAUUUAUGGUCUCAAAAUAUCAAAACAACCCCAGCAGGGUGUGUGAUAUGCAGUAGUGUGCACUUAUUGCGUCCAAUUUAAAUUUAUUGUCUCAAAGUACCAAAACAACCCCAGCAGGGUGUGUGAUAUGGGGUACCCCAGCAGGGUAUCUGUUGUAGUGUAAAUAAUGCCAAUGGACUCCAGCAGGGUCUGUAUAAAUGACAGUAAGUUGUAAUAACCCCGGCAGGGUAUUCUGUAUCUGUCACUUAGUGUUGUCAAAUUGUCCCAGCAGGGCAAACCACAAUAUUGGGAUUUGUAUAACUGGGCCUCACCCAGGAUCCCAGAUGUGGCCACAGGGCGACCUCCAAAAAGCAGCACAGUAAUAGGGGCAGCACCCCAGGCAGGCACAGGGAAAUAAGCCCUUUAGUGCCUAAUAUGGCAGUAAUGAGACAAAAGUGACUGACCUCUGAGGGAUAAUAGGAUAUAGCACUAGCUCUAAGCACCGUCGUGUUCUGACAGGUAGUCUUAAGCGAUCAUCCAUUACCAGACAUAGAGUCUUGCUGUAGAUUCCUGAACCCUGAUCCAUUUUGAUAGUCUGUGUCCAAGGGUGCUAUCCCUUUUAAGUAGUUCCAGGGUAGUAUACUUUAAAGUAGUACCACAGUGGUAUCUUUAAGGAAUUUGAGGGUGAUAUCCCUUUAAGGGAUUUUUGGGGGUGAUAUCCAGUACCUCAAACCACUACACAUGAGUACGACUCAAUUCUGUAAAUAAUAGGCCAGUUAGAAUACUUACCUUUGCCUGGAUUCAAACUUGGGAUCCUGGGGUCCAACAUCCAUGUCAGAGCAUCGUAAGCCACAAGAGCAGCUAGGCUAGCAGCUGACAGCCCAGGUAUAUGUUACUCUCGAGCGCCAAAAUCAUCGUGGGUGAGAGUAGCAAAAUGGCUACACAUAAUCUCGCGAGACGCGAGAUUUAAGAUAGCCGCCGAGGGUAAAGGAGGGGGAAUAUGGUCCCUGGAUCAAAGAUGGCUGCCGCGUCAUGCUCGGGUUACCUUGUGGUCGUCCCACACACUGCCCUGCACCAAGGUAGUGGAUGUUGGAAAGCAUCCAGCACAUUACUGGGUGUACUGGGGCAGGCUGAGAGAGCGAGGGCAGUGAGUCUGGCCGUCCCCCUGAGGAAUGUAGGAGGAAGAGGUCGAACGGAUAGGCCGGAAGAAGGGGUUAAUGCCCGGGAGCCGGCGGGAACCGCGGGAGGGAAGGGGUUAAGCCCCAGCCAGACCCAGAAUCCCCAUGAGACCCUGGGGAGAAGGAGGAAAGUGGUGAAAGAGGGUCCCCAGAUGCCCCAGGUAUAGAAGGCCAGGAAAAUUGCCAGAAAAGUCAUGAUACAUAUGGUAUAAAGUACAUUUACCAUAACUAUACAUAAAACCUAUUAAGUCAAUAAUAAAAUUUACACCUAACACCUAUUAAAUCCAUAUUAUAAAAUACAUAUGAGAUCUAUUAAAUACAUUGAAAGUACAUAUAAUACUUAUCAAAACAAAGGAUGAAAUGCCUAUAAAACUGAUAAAUUACAAGUGAUAUUACUCAUAACUAAAGGUUAUGAAAUAAGGAUAAUGUUAAAUCUAUAUAAUAUCUAUGAAAUAACAGAAAAAACACAGCUGCACAUAGUACAGAAGCACAGCAAGAACAUACAGCAAAGUAUAUCAAAAAUAUAAUACAGAAACAACCUCAAAGAGGCAAUAGAAACAUAAAGUAGUAGAGAAGAGUAAUACUCUGACCUGUCUGCUUGAUGGAGCAGUAAAGAAAGAGGAAAUGAUGAGGUCACAUUGCCUUAUGUAUAUCCUGCUCUCCUGUGAUUGGUUCUUUUUUCUAUUUGUCUCUUUACUGCUGUAUGGAGUUAGUAAAGAGAGAUAUGCAAAAUACAAAGCCUCCUGUCAUGUGGUAAAAUUAGAGAUUAGUGUCAUUAGUAAUAUACUAGAUUGCCCACUUACAACCAGAUGAGGAUGAUGAUGGGCUCUGGCUGAAGUCUGGCUCCACUGGUCUGGUGUAGAACCGGCUCUCUGGCGGCUGUUGGUAACUGUGGUCACAAAAGUCAAUGAUCUGGGAGAACGGGAAGCAGCUCCAUUAUUUUGGGUCCCUUUACACAGCUCAAGGUCUGGGCCCCAGGGCCUGACGGUUAGUAUGCCCAUAAGGCCCACCCAUAAGUCCACCUACACGUUCCACCCAUGAGUUCACUCACAGGGAGUGGAGUGUGUAGGGGAUGUGUUAUGUGUUAUUGUAGAGGAUCUAAAGUGUGUGCUUAUGGAAUGUAGUGUAUAGGGAUACCAGUUUGUGUAGGUGAUGCAGUGUGUUUUUGUGUAAGGGAUAGAAAGCAGUGUGUGUUUGUGUAUAAAGGAUGUAUUGUGUGUUUCUGGAUGUGUCUAAGGGAUGCAUUGUGUGAAUCUGUGUUUGUAUGUGUAAGGGAUGCAAUGUGUGUUUCUGUGUAUGUAAGGGAUGCAGUGUGUGUGUCUGCAAGGGGUGCAUUGUAUGUAAGGGGUGAAUUGAGUGUGUGUAAGAGAUGCAUGGUGUUUCAGUGUGUGUUUCUGUGUGUGUAAGGGAUGCAUUGUGUGUUUCUGUGUGUACGGAAUGCAGUGUUUGUGUAUUUCUGUGUAUGUGUGCAUUGUGUGUGUGUGUAAUGGAUGCAUUGUGUGUUUCUCUGUGUGUAAGGGACGCAUGGUGUGUUUCUGUGUAUAUAUAGGGAUGCAUUGUGUGUGUGUGUAGUGUGAAAUAGAGAGUUUGAGGGGUAGGAUAGGGACUGAGUGCUACCAGCCCCUUUUUGCUUCUCUUUCCUUCCUUCCUCAGCCUCUCUCCCCUCUUGUCCCUUAGAGCUCUCCCCUCUUGUCCUUUAGUGCUCUUUCCUGCCCCACUGUCCCAUAAUGAUCUCUCUGCCCCUUUCCCUUAUUGCUCUCCCAUCCUGUCCCUUACUGCUGUAUUUUGCCUCACUGUCACUUAUUGCUCUCUCCUGCCCCCAAUCCCUUAGAGCUCUCCCCUGUCCGUUGUUGGUCUCUUCUCUCCCAUCCCUUAUUGGUCUCUCCUCUCUCAU